ACACGGGCAGGUGGCCCCAGCUCGUCCGGGUCUGGGUUUCUUCUAGAAGGAAGGCACAGCUGCCUGCCCUGAGCUCCCUCUCUGCAGUCCAGCUACCAAGCCUAGUGGCUUUAUUUCAGACACAGCUCCAAGCGUCCCUAUCCUUUGCCCAGAGAUUUAAGACCAGGAGUGAAUUUUAUUUUUAAAAAUGGGCUGUUGUCCCCCUUUCCUCCCCCAUUUUCCUGGAGAGCCGACUCUCAGGGCUCCUUGGAGAGGAUCUGUCCAGGGUCCAGGUUUUGUGUUUUUAUUUCGGGACCAUUCUGAAAGCAAUCUCCCCUUCGCUCCUCAAUAAAUACAGGUAGACUCCAGGCGAGGACUUGCUUUCAUUUUUAAAAAGUUGCCUUGACUUCCUGCUAGCAAAGAAAAGAAAUAAAAUUUAAGAAAAAAAAAAAAAGGCCAGGCACAGUGGCUCACGCCUGUAAUCCCAGCACUUUGGGAGGCUGAGGCAGGCAGAUCACGAGGUCAGAAGAUGAAGACCAUCCUGGCUAACACGGUGAAACCCUGUCUCUACAAAAAAUAUAAAAAAUUAGUCGGUCCCAGCUAAUUGGGAGGCCGAGGCAGGAGAAUCGUUUGAACCUGGGAGGUGGAGGUUGCAGUGAGCCGAAGUCACG
RNAcentral lists this long non-coding RNA (650 nucleotides) under Homo sapiens (human). RNAcentral describes it as "HSALNT0397938". Lineage: Eukaryota; Metazoa; Chordata; Mammalia; Primates; Hominidae. The record is from RNAcentral.